Pecten maximus is the source of this 838-nucleotide long non-coding RNA. RefSeq lists it as uncharacterized. Lineage: Eukaryota; Metazoa; Mollusca; Bivalvia; Pectinida; Pectinidae. The record is from RefSeq and is a predicted model, not a curated record. The transcript has 6 exons.
CAAGGGAUGCCGUAAACAGGAAGAGUUCAAGAAUGUUCAAUUUUCAAAACGAGAUGGAACUCAUGAUAAGGAUGGCGAGGGAUCUCAAUCGGAACAAUUUGAUGUAGACAGCAUUGCCAAGGUGUCCACUUACUCUGAAAUUGGAGGACAUCAAGUAUACCAAAAUGAUCCAGUCAAUGGCGGGGAUGACCGAAAGUACGAGUUCUUGGAAGGGCGUUCUAAUCCAAACGUUUACGAAGAACUUCAGUGUACAGAGUCUGGUGACAGAGGGAGAUAUGCCAACACCGAAGAUGCUUGUGACGAUAAACAUUGACCAGAUACAUACCAUUUUUAAAUAAUGUCUUGCUUUGAAAGGUGUGACAAUAUCAAUAUCAAAAUAUUGCAUUAUAAUGAUGCUUUAAAGAACCUUUCGGGCGAUUAAGUUGGCAGCAACAGCAUCAAUAUGCAAUGCAUAUAUCCAAAUUAACAUAUGAUUCUGACGUUCCUCAUCACAUCAAACAGACCUGGUGAAUCGCUUUCGUGGUACGUUAAGCAACGGAGAACGACAUGUGUUGGAGAACUGGAAAUUAUUAUGUACUAUUUUACAAUCACCUACUUUGAUCGUGAUGAAAAACAAGUAUCCCGCUAUGUUGUUGAAUUGUAACAAUACAUAAACAAUGUGUACACUAAUGCGAGGUGAAAAUGAUUUGAUUGCAAAACAAUUGGAAAUUCUGGUGAUGGUGAAAAUACCUAAUCACUAGGUAAUCAUUUUAUCGGAAGAGAGAUGUAUCUGUUCGCUUUUGUUUUCAAAACGAACUUAAUCGGAAAAGACAUAUUUCAAAUGACAAACGUACGACAA